RNAcentral lists this ribosomal RNA (403 nucleotides) under uncultured bacterium. Its description in RNAcentral is "partial 16S ribosomal RNA". It matches the Rfam family "Bacterial small subunit ribosomal RNA", at positions 28 to 526 of the family's 1533-position model. The record is from RNAcentral.
GACGAACGCUGGCGGCGUGCCUAAUACAUGCAAGUCGAACGCAGUGGGGACGGGUGAGUAACACGUGGGUAACCUCCCAUCAGAGGGGAUAACACUUGGAAACAGGUGCUAAACCGCUACUGAUUGAUGGACCCGCGGUGCAUUAGCUAGUUGGUGGGGUAACGGCUCACCAAGUCCAAGAUGCCUAGCCGACAUUAGGGGGUGGUCGGCCACAAUGGGACUGAGACACGGCCCAGACUCCUACGGGAGGCAGCAGUAGGGAAUCUGCGGCAAUGGACGAAAGGCUGACCGAGCAACGCCGCGUGAGUGAAGAAGGUUUUCGGAUCGUAAAACUCUGUUGGUAGGGAAGCGGUAUCUAACCAAAAAGCCCCGGCUAACUACGUGCCAGCAGCCGCGGUAAUGC